GACGAACGCUGGCGGCGUGCUUAACACAUGCAAGUCGUACGGUAAGGCCCUUUCGGGGGUACACGAGUGGCGAACGGGUGAGUAACACGUGAGUAACCUGCCCACAACUUUGGGAUAACGCUAGGAAACUGGGGCUAAUACUGGAUAUGUGCUCCUGCUGCAUGGUGGUGGUUGGAAAGCUCCGGCGGUUGUGGAUGGACUCGCGGCCUAUCAGCUUGUUGGUGGGGUAGUGGCCUACCAAGGCGGCGACGAGUAGCCGGCCUGAGAGGGUGACCGGCCACAUUGGGACGGAGAUACGACCCAGAAGCCUACGGGAGGAAGCAGUGGGGAAUAUUGCACAAUGGGCGCAAGCCUGAUGAAGCAACGCCGCGUGCGGGAUGACGGCCUUCGGGUUGUAAAACGCUUUCAGCAGGGACGAAGCUUUUUGUGACGGUACCUGCAGAAGAAGCACCGGCUAACUACGUG
RNAcentral lists this ribosomal RNA (465 nucleotides) under uncultured bacterium. RNAcentral describes it as "partial 16S ribosomal RNA". It matches the Rfam family "Bacterial small subunit ribosomal RNA", at positions 28 to 507 of the family's 1533-position model. The record is from RNAcentral.